GAAGAAGAGGAUGAGAGGUCAUUACUAUCUGGUAGGGAGUCCAGUGCGAUGUGGAGCUUCAGGAGUCAGGAGGAGCCCAAAGCAAGGUGGAGCUCCAGAUGGAGGUGGAUCAGACACGAGAUGCGAGAUUUGGAAGGAUGAAAGAUGAUAUCGCAGGGUGAGAUUCUUAUUGCUGCAAGAUGAUAUCCCAAGCAGUUCUCA
This 201-nucleotide long non-coding RNA is filed under the name Elaeis guineensis (African oil palm). RNAcentral describes it as "long non-coding RNA (EGUI_LNC027645)". Lineage: Eukaryota; Viridiplantae; Streptophyta; Magnoliopsida; Arecales; Arecaceae. The record is from RNAcentral.